Molecule: ribosomal RNA, 497 nt
Filed under: uncultured bacterium
Lineage: Bacteria
Description: partial 16S ribosomal RNA
Rfam family: Bacterial small subunit ribosomal RNA
Source: RNAcentral
GAUGAACGCUGGCGGCGUGCCUAAUACAUGCAAGUCGAGCGAACAGAUGAGGAGCUUGCUCCUCUGACGUUAGCGGCGGACGGGUGAGUAACACGUGGAUAACCUACCUAUAAGACUGGGAUAACUUCGGGAAACCGGAGCUAAUACCGGAUAAUAUAUUGAACCGCAUGGUUCAAUAGUGAAAGACGGUUUUGCUGUCACUUAUAGAUGGAUCCGCGCCGCAUUAGCUAGUUGGUAAGGUAACGGCUAACCAAGGCAACGAUGCGUAGCCGACCUGAGAGGGUGAUCGGCCACACUGGAACUGAGACACGGUCCAGACUCCUACGGGAGGCAGCAGUAGGGAAUCUUCCGCAAUGGGCGAAAGCCUGACGGAGCAACGCCGCGUGAGUGAUGAAGGUCUUCGGAUCGUAAAACUCUGUUAUUAGGGAAGAACAAAUGUGUAAGUAACUAUGCACGUCUUGACGGUACCUAAUCAGAAAGCCACGGCUAACUACGUG